Planococcus citri (citrus mealybug) is the source of this 1491-nucleotide long non-coding RNA. RefSeq lists it as uncharacterized. The transcript has 3 exons. NCBI's taxonomy places the organism in Eukaryota, Metazoa, Arthropoda, Insecta, Hemiptera, Pseudococcidae. The record is from RefSeq and is a predicted model, not a curated record.
CAGGAGUUUUAAAGGUUCAAAACACGUGUUGAGAAAACUGUUCGGUAGGUAGGUACCUAGUUAAUGAGAUAUCGUAAAAGAUGGAAAUUAUGCUACGUCUCGUGUUCGUUUUGAUGUUUUUAGCUAUGAAUUCUCUGCUCUUUAAACUGAAUGGGAGCAAUAUGUAUGUGGCAGGAGUUUCAAAUGAUGUCACUACUAAAGAUUAUCUAUCCAUAGAAUAUGAUCAAAUGUUGAAAGAAGACUCUCUCAAAAACUACUUAAAAGAUUCCUUGCGUGUACAUCAAAUUUCAGACUUUAUUUGCGCAUGCGGUUUUAUACGAGAUAUGUACCUGGAAUAUUACGACUUGGCCAAGUGUUUUUUCAGUCAAAAAUUAGGUUUUCUCAAACCAUGUCGAGAAGUAUGGCAAUUUUACGCCAACACGAGCAACGGAGUUUUUGGUCUGAAGCUUAGAGGACACGUCGAUUACCCGGAAUACACCACAAUGCUGCAACCAGACGAGUACGAUGAUUUUGCUCAUGCAGUCUGUAAAUCGUAUAGGAUGUGUACCUAUCAUAUCUACAACAAUCCCAGAACAGUUCAAGUUGUUGAAAAAUUACAAAAUGGUACUCCACUUACAAUUAUUCAAAUGCUUCGACGUGAGAAACGAAAUUUUCUAUUUACUACUGCUCAAAUGAACCACAUUAAUAGUUUUAUGAUCGCAUCGGGGUUUGGAUCUUUUCCAUUUUUGACGUUUGUCAGGAAUGAUGUGGAAUACGCAGUUCCACAGUUGCAGAAUGCUACCGAACGGUUAAUGUGUCCCAUUCGUAAAAAUAAAACAAAAAAAAAUUAAAGAAUAAAGGCAUAAGAGCGAAGACUGUGAUGACCGAUGAGAGACUGAAUCUAAAAAUAAACUAUGCUGAUGACUACACCUUUUUUUCCAAAAAAACAGAACAUGACAUCAGUUUUAUACACCACUGCUCAACGCCGACGCUGAUCUACUAUCAUCCGCACUCAGAGUUGAAUGAAAUAGAAGUUGAAACGAACGCAGGUACUUACCUAAAGUUCUUCUCAUAGGAGUAGGAGACAGUCAUACGUAUUCGUGGCAAUCAUUUCGACACUUUCUUACGCUGACCUUCGGUAGCUCAAAUUUUACAAUUGUGGUCCUCACGUCAGCAAAAAUGUUCCAUUUUUCACACCAUGCUCACGCAGAGUUGACUAUUGCAAUCUACGUAAUAAGAAACACCAUUUUACUUAUGUUGAAUUGAAAGGCUCUCGGCUACGGGUGAUCAAAACUUUUGCCUUAUUCCAUGGUCAAUUUGCCAAGAAUCGAUAAUUUCCUUCAAGUAUUGGAAUGCGUAGGUGUAUACUUAUUAUUCAAACAGAAUUAAUUACCUAGGUUCCUACUGAUGAGUGCAUGAUAUUUCUCUCUAAGAGAUACUCAAUUUUGUAUAGGUUUUUACGUUCUUGCAUGUGAAAUAAGAUACAAAUAAAAUUAUUUGAUGAGGUACCUA